CAGCAAGAUUUUGGCUAGAAGGCAUCUUGAGGUCUGCAUUUCCACCAUCUACUCAAGGCAGUGUUAGCUUCUAGUGUUUCUCAGUGCCGUAACUAUCGCACCAUCUGCUGAAGAGUAGUUUUGGUGUAAGCCCAGGUAGACAAAAAAUGAGCUGGCUGCUCAGAACAUGCAGUGAGAGGAAAUUUGGUGUAAGGGAGAUACUAACAAAGACUCAGUCAAACUGAGAUGGAGAAGUAUCAAAAUUUUCCCUUCUGUG
Long non-coding RNA from Passer domesticus (house sparrow), 256 nucleotides. RefSeq lists it as uncharacterized. The record is from RefSeq and is a predicted model, not a curated record. NCBI's taxonomy places the organism in Eukaryota, Metazoa, Chordata, Aves, Passeriformes, Passeridae. The transcript is spliced from 3 exons.